GGAAUAUUGCGCAAUGGGCGAAAGCCUGACGCAGCCACGCCGCGUGGAGGAAGACACCCCUAUGGGGCGUAAACUCCUUUUAUGUGAGAAGAAGGUCCCGGACGCCGGGCUUUGACGGUACCACAUGAAUAAGCACCGGCUAACUCCGUGCCCGCAGCCGCGGUAAUCCGGAGGGGGCAAGCGUUUUCCGGAUUCACUGGGUGUAAAGGUUGUGUAGGCGGAACAUGCAAGUCAGAGGUGAAAGCCUGCAGCUUAACUGUAGAAUUGCCUUUGAUACUGCUGUUCUUGAGUACUGGAGAGGCUACUAGAAUUCGUGGUGUAGCGGUGAAAUGCGUAGAUAUCACGAGGAAUACCAGAGGCGUAGGCGGGUAGCUGGACAGAUACUGACGCUGAGGCACGAAAGCGUGGGGAGCAAAC
This 417-nucleotide ribosomal RNA is filed under the name uncultured bacterium. Its description in RNAcentral is "bacterial SSU rRNA". It matches the Rfam family "Bacterial small subunit ribosomal RNA", at positions 358 to 773 of the family's 1533-position model. The record is from RNAcentral.